RNAcentral lists this ribosomal RNA (468 nucleotides) under uncultured bacterium. Its description in RNAcentral is "partial 16S ribosomal RNA". It matches the Rfam family "Bacterial small subunit ribosomal RNA", at positions 28 to 507 of the family's 1533-position model. The record is from RNAcentral.
GACGAACGCUGGCGGCGUGCUUAACACAUGCAAGUCGAACGGAAAGGCCCUGCUUUUGUGGGGUGCUCGAGUGGCGAACGGGUGAGUAACACGUGAGUAACCUGCCCUUGACUUUGGGAUAACUUCAGGAAACUGGGGCUAAUACCGGAUAGGAGCUCCUGCUGCAUGGUGGGGGUUGGAAAGUUUCGGCGGUUGGGGAUGGACUCGCGGCUUAUCAGCUUGUUGGUGGGGUAGUGGCUUACCAAGGCUUUGACGGGUAGCCGGCCUGAGAGGGUGACCGGCCACAUUGGGACUGAGAUACGGCCCAGCCUCCUACGGGAGGCAGCAGUGGGGAAUAUUGCACAAUGGGCGGAAGCCUGAUGCAGCACCGCCGCGUGCGGGAUGACGGCCUUCGGGUUGUAAACCGCUUUCGCCUGUGACGAAGCGUGAGUGACGGUAAUGGGUAAAGAAGCACCGGCUAACUACGUG